UGUAGAUGAGUGUUGAUCCUGGCUGGACACCUCCUUAAGCUUGGAUUCCCGGGUCCCCGGAAAAAGAGGAGUGGCGAACGGGUGAGUAACACGUGGGUAACCUGCCCAUCAGAAGGGGAUAACACUUGGAAACAGGUGCUAAUACCGUAUAACAAUCAAAACCGCAUGGUUUUGAUUUGAAAGGCGCUUUCGGGUGUCGCUGAUGGAUGGACCCGCGGUGCAUUAGCUAGUUGGUGAGGUAACGGCUCACCAAGGCCACGAUGCAUAGCCGACCUGAGAGGGUGAUCGGCCACAUUGGGACUGAGACACGGCCCAAACUCCUACGGGAGGCAGCAGUAGGGAAUCUUCGGCAAUGGACGAAAGUCUGACCGAGCAACGCCGCGUGAGUGAAGAAGGUUUUCGGAUCGUAAAACUCUGUUGUUAGAGAAGAACAAGGAUGAGAGUAACUGUUCAUCCCUUGACGGUAUCUAACCAGAAAGCCACGGCUAACUACGUGCCAGCAGCCGCGGUAAUACGUAGGUGGCAAGCGUUGUCCGGAUUUAUUGGGCGUAAAGCGAGCGCAGGCGGUUUCUUAAGUCUGAUGUGAAAGCCCCCGGCUCAACCGGGGAGGGUCAUUGGAAACUGGGAGACUUGAGUGCAGAAGAGGAGAGUGGAAUUCCAUGUGUAGCGGUGAAAUGCGUAGAUAUAUGGAGGAACACCAGUGGCGAAAGCGGCUCUCUGGUCUGUAACUGACGCUGAGGCUCGAAAGCGUGGGGAGCAAACAGGAUUAGAUACCCUGGUAGUCCACGCCGUAAACGAUGAGUGCUAAGUGUUGGAGGGUUUCCGCCCUUUCAGUGCUGCAGCUAACGCAUUAAGCACUCCCGCCUGGGGAGUACGACCGCAAGGUUGAACUCAAGGAAUUGGACGGGGGCCCCGCACAGCGUGAAGCAUGGUGGAUUAAUUCGAGGCAUCGGUAGAUCUUACUAGGUCUUUGAACAUUCCUUUGGAACACCACCUCCUA
RNAcentral lists this ribosomal RNA (1000 nucleotides) under Enterococcus faecium. Its description in RNAcentral is "bacterial SSU rRNA". It matches the Rfam family "Bacterial small subunit ribosomal RNA", at positions 24 to 1021 of the family's 1533-position model. The record is from RNAcentral. Lineage: Bacteria; Bacillati; Bacillota; Bacilli; Lactobacillales; Enterococcaceae.